Molecule: ribosomal RNA, 298 nt
Filed under: Serratia marcescens
Lineage: Bacteria; Pseudomonadati; Pseudomonadota; Gammaproteobacteria; Enterobacterales; Yersiniaceae
Description: partial 16S ribosomal RNA
Rfam family: Bacterial small subunit ribosomal RNA
Source: RNAcentral
CAGUCGAGCGGUAGCACAGGGGAGCUUGCUCCCUGGGUGACGAGCGGCGGACGGGUGAGUAAUGUCUGGGAAACUGCCUGAUGGAGGGGGAUAACUACUGGAAACGGUAGCUAAUACCGCAUAACGUCGCAAGACCAAAGAGGGGGACCUUCGGGCCUCUUGCCAUCAGAUGUGCCCAGAUGGGAUUAGCUAGUAGGUGGGGUAAUGGCUCACCUAGGCGACGAUCCCUAGCUGGUCUGAGAGGAUGACCAGCCACACUGGAACUGAGACACGGUCCAGACUCCUACGGGAGGCAGCA